This 253-nucleotide ribosomal RNA is filed under the name uncultured bacterium. Its description in RNAcentral is "partial 16S ribosomal RNA". It matches the Rfam family "Bacterial small subunit ribosomal RNA", at positions 524 to 776 of the family's 1533-position model. The record is from RNAcentral.
UACAGAGGUCCCAAGCGUUGUUCGGAUUCAUUGGGCGUAAAGGGUGCGUAGGUGGCGCCGUUAGUCGGGUGUGAAAUUUCGGAGCUUAACUCCGAAACUGCAUUCGAUACUGCGGUGCUUGAGGACUGGAGAGGAGACUGGAAUUCAUGGUGUAGCAGUGAAAUGCGUAGAGAUCAUGAGGAAGACCAGUGGCGAAGGCGGGUCUCUGGACAGUUACUGACGCUGAUGCACGAAGGCCAGGGGAGCAAACGGG